CCAGGUGCGGCCGCCUAUAAUGCGAGUCGCGCGCGGGAAGUGAGCUGAAGCCCUUCGGGGUGGACGCUCGUGGAACGAGCGGCGGACGGGUGAGUAACACGUGGGCAACCUACCUGUAAGACCGGAAUAACCCCGGGAAACCGGGGCUAAUGCCGGGUAACCGUUCGGUUCUCCUGAACCGAACGUAAAAGGAUGGCUUCUUGCUAUCGCUUACAGAUGGGCCCGCGGCGCAUUAGCUAGUUGGUAAGGUAACGGCUUACCAAGGCGACGAUGCGUAGCCGACCUGAGAGGGUGAUCGGCCACACUGGGACUGAGACACGGCCCAGACUCCUACGGGAGGCAGCAGUAGGGAAUCUUCCGCAAUGGACGAAAGUCUGACGGAGCAACGCCGCGUGAACGAUGAAGGCUUUCGGGUCGUAAAGUUCUGUUGUGAGGGAAGAACAAGGAUCGUGCGAACAGAGCGGUCCCUUGACGGUACCUCACGAGGAAGCCCCGGCUAACUACGUGCCAGCAGCCGCGGUAAUACGUAGGGGGCAAGCGUUGUCCGGAAUUAUUGGGCGUAAAGCGCACGCAUGCGGUUCCUUAAGUCUGAUGUGAAAGCCCGUGGCUCAACCACGGAGGGCCAUUGGAAACUGGGGAACUUGAGACUGAAGAGGAGAGUGAAUUCCACGUGUAGCGUGAAAUGCGUAGAUAUGUGCAGGAACACCAGUGGCGAGCGACUCUCUGUCGCUUCUGACGCUGAGGUGCCAAAGCGGGUAGCAAACAGAAUAGAAACCCUGUAGUCCACCGCGUACGAUGAUGCUAGUUUAAGGGCUCCCACCCUAGCUGAGUACGCAUAGCACUCCGCCUGGGGAUACCGUCCCAAGCUAACUCCAAGAAUUGACGCACGCCAUCGGUUGAGACCGUGUUUUAUAUCAGAGAGCGGAAACUUCACGGUGAACCUGACUAAAGUUAGUCUGCAAUAGCGGCUAUGUCACUCUGCGGAUGUGUACCAGACU
Molecule: ribosomal RNA, 998 nt
Filed under: Bacillus sp. S20
Lineage: Bacteria; Bacillati; Bacillota; Bacilli; Caryophanales; Bacillaceae
Description: bacterial SSU rRNA
Rfam family: Bacterial small subunit ribosomal RNA
Source: RNAcentral